AGAACGAACGCUGGCGGCACGCCUAACACAUGCAAGUCGAGCGCCCAGCAAUGGGAGCGGCGGACGGGUGAGUAACACGUGGGAAUAUGCCUUUCGGUACGGAACAACUCAGGGAAACUUGAGCUAAUGCCGUAUACGCCCUUACGGGGAAAGAUUUAUCGCCGAAAGAUUAGCCCGCGUCUGAUUAGCUAGUUGGUGAGGUAAUGGCUCACCAAGGCUUCGAUCAGUAGCUGGUUUGAGAGAACGACCAGCCACACUGGGACUGAGACACGGCCCAGACUCCUACGGGAGGCAGCAGUGGGGAAUCUUGGACAAUGGGGGAAACCCUGAUCCAGCGAUGCCGCGUGAGUGAUGAAGGCCUUCGGGUUGUAAACUCUUUCGACGGGACGAUAAUGACGGUACCCGUAGAAGAAGCUCCGGCUAACUUCGUGCCAGCAGCCGC
RNAcentral lists this ribosomal RNA (442 nucleotides) under uncultured bacterium. RNAcentral describes it as "SSU rRNA". It matches the Rfam family "Bacterial small subunit ribosomal RNA", at positions 26 to 518 of the family's 1533-position model. The record is from RNAcentral.